AGUGAACGCUGGCGGUAGGCCUAACACAUGCAAGUCGAACGGCAGCACAGUAAGAGCUUGCUCUUACGGGUGGCGAGUGGCGGACGGGUGAGGAAUACAUCGGAAUCUACUUUUUCGUGGGGGAUAACGUAGGGAAACUUACUCUAAUACCGCAUAUGACCUACGGGUGAAAGCAGGGGAUCUUCUGACCUUGCGCGAUUGAAUGAGCCGAUGUCGGAUUAGCUAGUUGGCGGGGUAAAGGCCCACCAAGGCGACGAUCCGCAGCUGGUCUGUGAGGAUGGUCAGCCGCACUGGAACUGAGACACGGUCCAGACUCCUACGGGAGGCAGCAGUGGGGAAUAUUGGACAGUGGGCGCAAGCCUGAUCCAGCCAUACCGCGUGGGUGAAGAAGGCCUUCGGGUUGUAAAGCCCUUUUGUUGGGAAAGAAAAGCAGCAGGUUAAUACCCCGCUGUUCUGACGGUACCCAAAGAAUAAGCACCGGCUAACUUCGUG
This 492-nucleotide ribosomal RNA is filed under the name uncultured bacterium. Its description in RNAcentral is "partial 16S ribosomal RNA". It matches the Rfam family "Bacterial small subunit ribosomal RNA", at positions 29 to 507 of the family's 1533-position model. The record is from RNAcentral.